ACUGGAGAGCCUCAUUGGUGCCUGCUGAGGCAGAUUGGAGCUGCGGUAGCGAUAGUGUGAACUGGGUCAGGAAAGCAGCGUAGAGAAGAACAGGCUCUGAAUCAGCAAUUAUAAACAGAUCUAUAUAUAUUCUAUUGAAGUUCCACUGAAUUCAAGACGACCAUAUUCUGAAAUAAUCUAAUAUUACUGUCCAUCAACCGUCAAAAAAAGAAUAAGGCAUUUUUGGAACACU
Non-coding RNA from Pantherophis guttatus, 232 nucleotides. The record is from RefSeq and is a predicted model, not a curated record. NCBI's taxonomy places the organism in Eukaryota, Metazoa, Chordata, Lepidosauria, Squamata, Colubridae.